RNAcentral lists this ribosomal RNA (763 nucleotides) under uncultured Streptococcus sp. RNAcentral's name for it is "bacterial SSU rRNA". It matches the Rfam family "Bacterial small subunit ribosomal RNA", at positions 28 to 776 of the family's 1533-position model. The record is from RNAcentral. Lineage: Bacteria; Bacillati; Bacillota; Bacilli; Lactobacillales; Streptococcaceae.
GACGAACGCUGGCGGCGUGCCUAAUACAUGCAAGUAGAACGCUGAAGGAGGAGCUUGCUUCUCCGGAUGAGUUGCGAACGGGUGAGUAACGCGUAGGUAACCUGCCUGGUAGCGGGGGAUAACUAUUGGAAACGAUAGCUAAUACCGCAUAAUAGUAGAUGUUGCAUGACAUUUGCUUAAAAGGUGCAAUUGCAUCACUACCAGAUGGACCUGCGUUGUAUUAGCUAGUUGGUGGGGUAACGGCUCACCAAGGCGACGAUACAUAGCCGACCUGAGAGGGUGAUCGGCCACACUGGGACUGAGACACGGCCCAGACUCCUACGGGAGGCAGCAGUAGGGAAUCUUCGGCAAUGGACGGAAGUCUGACCGAGCAACGCCGCGUGAGUGAAGAAGGUUUUCGGACCGUAAAGCUCUGUUGUAAGAGAAGAACGAGUGUGAGAGUGGAAAGUUCUCACUGUGACGGUAUCUUACCAGAAAGGGACGGCUAACUACGUGCCAGCAGCCGCGGUAAUACGUAGGUCCCGAGCGUUGUCCGGAUUUAUUGGGCGUAAAGCGAGCGCAGGCGGUUAGAUAAGUCUGAAGUUAAAGGCUGUGGCUUAACCAUAGUACGCUUUGGAAACUGUUUAACUUGAGUGCAAGAGGGGAGAGUGGAAUUCCAUGUGUAGCGGUGAAAUGCGUAGAUAUAUGGAGGAACACCGGUGGCGAAAGCGGCUCUCUGGCUUGUAACUGACGCUGAGGCUCGAAAGCGUGGGGAGCAAACAGG